AUAAAAUAAAAUCAUUUCAUCUUCAUUUGAAAGGUAAAGUAGAAUUCAUAUACCCCACCAAACUUAACGAAGAGACCGCCAAGUAAACUGAAGGUUGAGAAUUCUGAUCACACUUCAUCCUGAAAAUUUGAAGCAAGAUUUCAAUCUUGAGGCACAACCAGACUCUUUACCAUGAUUCAGAAAAUAAGAUAAACUCACUCAUCCCCUGCCCAGCCAAAAGGACUCCACAGAAGAUGCUGAAACUGAAAAUAUAAAGUAA
Molecule: long non-coding RNA, 259 nt
Filed under: Carica papaya (papaya)
Lineage: Eukaryota; Viridiplantae; Streptophyta; Magnoliopsida; Brassicales; Caricaceae
Description: long non-coding RNA (CPAP_LNC009221)
Source: RNAcentral